Molecule: long non-coding RNA, 3317 nt
Filed under: Homo sapiens (human)
Lineage: Eukaryota; Metazoa; Chordata; Mammalia; Primates; Hominidae
Description: HSALNT0085500
Source: RNAcentral
AUAUUUUUGAACAACACUCUAACUAAAGUGACUAAAAAAUAAACAACGCAUCUAAAUAUUGUAAUGAAGAAAUUAUGUCUGAGGGAAAUGUGAGUGAUAAAAUGAUAAUUCUAGUAAUGAGAAUCUGUUGGAAAGAGGAGGAGACAUGCUUGUAUGAAUAAUGACAUGAAUAAAACUCCAUAUGAAGAUUUAAAGAUGUAUUUUCAGAUAAUGUGACUUAACUAGUUUUAAAUUAAAUGUUACUUUAGCUUUUAUUUGAAAGGCAUUUUAUUUUUGGAAGGAGCUGACAAAAAUUCUAUUCAAACUGUUUCAGUUAAAAAAUACUCAUUAGUAUAAAUAACAGAAUUGCAAGACUACAGUAAAACUUUCUAGACACCAAAUGGGACUUAAGAAUUCAAACUAGAUGACAGGGCUGUUCUGUUUUAGCCUGUGGAAGGAGAAGUUAUAGCUAGCAGCCCUGCAAUUACAUUCCUCCAGAUCCCUGAUACAAAAGAUCACUCUCUUCUCUCAGCCACACAUCAAGCACUCCCAGAAAACCUCUUUCAUUGGGUAAAGAAGUCAGAGGUGGUAAUUUUUAUGCGAUACAGAAGCCUAAUGAAUAUAGUAGAGAUUCCUACACAAUAAUUUGCUUGGGAUAGAACACCUUGUAAAAUCAGGCACCUGUCACAGUGUCUAACCUUCAGAGCAAUGUCUGAGUUUGUGCAUGUGAAAAAAGAAAUUCUAAACUUGAAGUUUAAGCCUGAGCCAUCACUACAGGCCAGCACAUCCAUCAUGCCAGCAAUGUUCAUCUUUUUCUUGGAUUCUAACAAGUUUCAUUUUCAAAUAAGGCAUUUUGAGGAUUUGAAGAUUUGAGAUGAGAAAGGAAGCAGCUUCUGAAUUCUGCGUCUGUCAUUUCGGCCAUUUCAGUCUGGUUAAGAACCAUUGCUGGGGAGAUCGUGUGGUCAUCUGGAGGUAAGAAGAACCUCUGGACUUUAUGGUUCUGGAAUCAGAGUUCUUGUGCUGAUUCUUUUUCAUCUGCGUGGGCUGGUGUUCCUUUAAUGUUUGAAGUUUCUAUCCCUUAAAUGAGACUUUUUACUUUUAUAUUUUUCAAUGUUCUUGAGGAUUUGACUGUGGUAUAAGUUGAAUUUAGUCAAUUGGCUUCAUUUCUGAAUGAUUUCAGGAGGCCAACGCUCAGUUCAGUUCAGCACUCCUAGGCUGAAUGUUGUAACCCUGGGGUGCUGGUUCUAAGCCUGUAGCUUUUUUCUCUGGCCCUUCAAGGUUAAGCACCUGCUACACUGGAGGGGCCAAUGUGUUUCCAGUCUGCUAACAAUAACACUCCAAUGAGGGGUGCCAGCAAAUGUACUUUGGCAGGGUUUCAGCAUGGCAGCAGUGGGUGUCAUGUGCCUGUGCAUGCUGGUAGUAUGGUGGUGGUGGGGUCAGUAUGCACAUGCACUCCAGCAAAGCACGAGGGAGGCUACAGGCAAACGAGUGGUGGUGAAGCAACAGUGAGUGGGUUGCAGGUUUGUGCAAGCUGGUGGGAGCCUCCCUGCAGAAGCUCUCUGACUGUUAGACAGGGUCUGCCAGUGAAAGUAAUGGGGGUGGCUGCUGGCAAGUGCUUCAGCUGGGCAACUGAGACCACACUGAAAGUGGGUGUGGCCAGGAAGGCCCAGCUUAUCCACCACUAACCUAACAAUCAUGUUUUUUUCCUUCAAUUUAACCCACUUUCAGUGCUUUCUAUUGACAUAGUUCAGAUAUUUGUCCCCUCCAAAUCUCAUAUUGAAAUUUGAUCUCCAAUGUUGGUAGUGAGAGAUGUUUGGGUGGUGGGGUGAAUCCCUUAUGAAUGGUUUGGUGCCACCUUCACGGUAAUGAGUUCUCACUCUUAAUUUACAGAAAACUGAUUAUUAAAAACAGCCUAGGAUCUCCCUCCUCUCUUUCCUCCUUUUUAUCUAAUCAUGUGAUUCCUACUUUCCUUCUGCUUCUGCCAGCAGCUUGAGGUUUUCACCAGAAACAUACACUGACGUCAUGUUUCUUGUACAGCCUACAGAACCAAGAUCCAAAUAGAACUCUUUUCUUUAUAAAUCACCCAGCCUCAAAUAUUCAUUUAUAGCAACACGAAUAGACUAAGGUAUCUUCUAUCUAUUGGUGUUCUGAGUUCAUUGAUUCUUUUACCUUUUACCCUACUUCUGUGUAUAAUCCCAUAGCUGUCUAUUCCCUUCAAAAUCAGAUUAAAUUCUAAGGCCUGUCAUUCAAAUCAUUCUCGAAUAUCAGUGCUCUGCUUGUGGUGGGGAAAAACUAAAACUAGGUUAUAUUUACAAUCUAUCUUCUCUGCGAACUCUUCAGGUUACUGAGCAUCACUCAGGGAAAUCUCAAAAUCAAACAUAUUGCUACAUACAAAUCCAUGCUUAUAAACUAUAAUGUAUCUUCAAUACUGCAUUAAAAGUCUGCUUUUCUACUAAGGAAAUUGUUAAUUCCUCAUUAUCCCUUAAAGCUCAAAUCAUAAACACUCAUGUCAGUCUCAGUUUAUGACCCUUCUUCCAAAUACGAUGAGAUAUCAGAAGCCAGCAGACAUAAAAUCAGGAGGAUUCUGAUUUGGACCCAUGUUUCUUCCCUUCCUUGAUUUCAGUACAGGCUUUUGCCUUUAUCGUACAAUAAUAUUCAACUUUUAUCUUUCAAACACUUUCUGAAAUGAAGGAAUGUAAGACUAUAAGUAGAAAGAAAACUAGGACUGGGCAUAGCUGGGUGCUUCUGAAUGCCCACAUUUAUUCUUAUGCCUAUUUAUUCAAAAUCAAGUUAAUGAGAUUUUAGUGGGAGCUUAUGACAGUGCUGAAUGCUGGGGAUACAGGAGUCAGCAAAAGCAAUAAUAUUUAUGACACAAACAAAUGUAUACAUUGUUAAGGAAAACAGAUAAUGCACAAGAAAGAAUCAUAACAAAAUAGAUUCUUGUAAUAGAUGAUAAAAGGGCACAUAUUGGAGGCAUUCCGUUAUUCUUGUCAGAGAAUUAUACAGGAAACCCAACAAUGUAAAGACCUAAUCAACAUGUAAAACUCCUGGAGAAUAAAAAAUAAAACAGGAAGAGAAGAAUGCACAAAGCUACAAAUACAGGAUAGUGCUUACUGCAUUUGAAGAAAAGAACAUAAACUAAAGUGAAAUGAACAAGCAAAGAAAACACUAAAUGUCUGAAGCGGAGGGAAGAAAGGCAAGAUGUGUCAAGUGAGUUGGGAAAAGUCAGGGUCUAACCUACAUCUUAGAUGCUAAAAUAGAACAAUUUAAAUAUGUUUCAAAGGAAAAUAGGAUAUAUUGAAAGAUGUGAUGUUAAUCUAAGGAAUCAGAUGAUCCUA